GUGCCAGCAGCCGCGGUAAUACGGAGGGUGCAAGCGUUAUCCGGAUUCACUGGGUUUAAAGGGUGCGUAGGCGGGUAAGUAAGUCCGUGGUGAAAUCUCUGAGCUUAACUCAGAAACUGCCGUGGAUACUAUUUGCCUUGAAUAUUGUGGAGGUGAGCGGAAUAUGUCAUGUAGCGGUGAAAUGCUUAGAUAUGACAUAGAACACCAAUUGCGAAGGCAGCUCACUACACAAUCAUUGACGCUGAGGCACGAAAGCGUGGGGAUCAAACAGGAUUAGAUACCCUGGUAGUCC
RNAcentral lists this ribosomal RNA (292 nucleotides) under uncultured bacterium. RNAcentral describes it as "partial 16S ribosomal RNA". It matches the Rfam family "Bacterial small subunit ribosomal RNA", at positions 505 to 796 of the family's 1533-position model. The record is from RNAcentral.